RNAcentral lists this ribosomal RNA (492 nucleotides) under uncultured bacterium. RNAcentral's name for it is "partial 16S ribosomal RNA". It matches the Rfam family "Bacterial small subunit ribosomal RNA", at positions 29 to 507 of the family's 1533-position model. The record is from RNAcentral.
AGUGAACGCUGGCGGUAGGCCUAACACAUGCAAGUCGAACGGCAGCACAGUAAGAGCUUGCUCUUACGGGUGGCGAGUGGCGGACGGGUGAGGAAUACAUCGGCAUCUACUUUUUCGUGGGGUAUAACGUAGGGAAACUUACGCUAAUACCGCAUACGACCUACGCGUGAAAUCAGUAGUUCUUCGGAUCUUGCGCGAUUGAAUGAGCCGAUGCCGGAUUAGCUAGUUGUCGCGGUAAAGGCCCACCAAUUCGACGAUCCGUAGCUGGUCUGAGAGGAUGACCCGCCACACUGGAACUGAGACACGGUCCAGAAUCCUACGGGAGGCAGCAGUGGGGAAUAGUCGGCAAUGGGCGCAAGACUGAUCCAGCCAUACCGCGUGGGUGAAGAAGGGCUUCGGGUUGUAGAGCCCUUUUGUUGGGAAAGACAAGCAGCAGGUUAAUACCCCGCUGUUCUGACGUUACCCAAAGAAUAAGCACCGGCUAACUUCGUG